AUUGAACGCUGGCGGCACGCUUAACACAUGCAAGUCGAACGGCAGCGCGGGGAGCUUGCUCCCUGGCGGCGAGUGGCGGACGGGUGAGUAACGCGUGGGAAUCUGCCCAGUAGUGGGGGACAACCCGAGGAAACUCGGGCUAAUACCGCAUACGCCCUACGGGGAAAGCGGGGGAUCUUCGGACCUCGUGCUAUUGGAUGAGCCCGCGUCGGAUUAGCUUGUUGGUGGGGUAACGGCUUACCAAGGCGACGAUCCGUAGCUGGUCUGAGAGGACGACCAGCCACACUGGGACUGAGACACGGCCCAGACUCCUACGGGAGGCAGCAGUGGGGAAUAUUGGACAAUGGGCGCAAGCCUGAUCCAGCAAUGCCGCGUGUGUGAAGAAGGCCCUAGGGUUGUAAAGCACUUUCAGUCGGGAAGAAACGCAGGGUGUUAAUACCACCCUGUAAUGACGUUACCGACAGAAGAAGCACCGGCUAACUCCGUG
RNAcentral lists this ribosomal RNA (487 nucleotides) under uncultured bacterium. RNAcentral's name for it is "bacterial SSU rRNA". It matches the Rfam family "Bacterial small subunit ribosomal RNA", at positions 29 to 507 of the family's 1533-position model. The record is from RNAcentral.